Molecule: ribosomal RNA, 450 nt
Filed under: uncultured archaeon
Lineage: Archaea
Description: bacterial SSU rRNA
Rfam family: Archaeal small subunit ribosomal RNA
Source: RNAcentral
CAUGGGGGCGGUAUUAUAAAAUGUUAGUUGUGCGUUCCUUGGCUACAGGCGCGCAGCGUACGGCUCAGUAACACGUAGUCAACCUACCCUGGAGAUGUGGACAAGCCCGGGAAACUGGGAUUAAUCCGUGAUAGAUGACCUCAUCUGGAAGGAGAGGCCGUCGAAAGGGCUUUGCGGGUAUGCUUCGCAAAGUCGCUCCAGGAUGGGACUGCGGCCGAUCAGGCUGUUGGCGGGGUAAUGGCCCACCAAACCUGUAACCGGUACGGGCUUUGAGAGAAGGAGCCCGGAGAUGGACACUGAGACAAGGGUCCAGGCCCUACGGGGCGCAUCAGGCGCGAAAACUUCGCAAUGCGCGAAAGCGUGACGAGGCUAGUCCGAGUGCUCUCCGCUGAGGAGGGCUUUUCUCGGCUGUAAAUAGGCCGGGGAAUAAGGGGAGGGCAAGUCUGGUGU